GUUUAAGUUAUAUAUUGUAUGUUUUUUCUUUAAAAAAGAUAAGUGACAUUUCAUUUAUUAUAAUGUUAAUUGUUUUACAGUAUUUACAUUUUAAUUUCGUACAAGUAUUUUUGAAAUAUCAGAUGCGGCCAAGCCACGUUAUUAGCUAAAUAUUAAGAUUGCUAGCUAAUUAACAAAAGUAUAUAGUAUAUAUUUUUUUAGUUUCUCAUAAACAUUAAACAUUAAUAUUUUACAGAUUUUUUUAUCGGAACUUUUUUAUUCUUACACUUUAGUUGUACAUUUUUAUAUUUAAAGCGAUUGAAUUUAAACAAUUCUUUUUUAUUUAUUUUCCAUACUUUAUAUAUUUCUGAUUUUUAUGUUUCUUCAUAAAUUUUUCUAAUGAUUGUACUUUACAAAAUUUAUUUUAUAUCAUAUAACAAAUCGUUCAUAUUUUUGAUCAUAACAAAAAAAAGAAUAUUUUUAUGUGCGUGAAAAUUACAUCAUAUAUUUAACGGAUAUAUAAUUAUUACGAUUAAUUUUUGUUGAAUAUCAAUUUUUUUAAUUCUUGAAGAGAACUAUCGUCAUCGAUUCCGUGAUGUGUAAGCAAUGUAAUAUUUGAAAAUCAAUUUAAUGAAAAAAAGGAAAGAAAAAUAAAGCAAGCAAAAAAUCAGAUUAUAUAAAAAUAACAAAAAAAAAAAGGAAUGAAGUGAAAAAUACAAAUAAGUAUAUAUUUAAGGAAAAAAAAAAAUAACUGUAGCAUGUUAGAAUAAACCUAUGGCAGACGAUAGUACUCUUGUCAAGCGUUGAUCCUUUAAGCCUAUAACAAUUUUCGUCGUAAGAUUUUUGUAAUCGCUAGUCAAUCGUGUUAAAUGGGUAGCAAGAAGUAUUCUAAGCAAAGAGAGAAGAAAUUAUGCGUCAUCGAUGAAAUAUUUUACUCGUUUCAUUUUAACGAAUUCGGAUGUUUGUACGGAUGCGUAACGCGUUCGUUAAAAAAAAACGAAGAAAGAUGUUAGUUUAUCGAUGGAUACGCGAGAUUAUAGCCAACAGCAGGUAAAACCACGUAUUUUUUUGACGUGUCAAGUUAAUGUACGUAAAUAGCAAAUGAAGUGGUAUAUAAAGUUAUAAAUAUAUAUAUAUUUAUAUAUAUAUAUAGAUAUAUAUUUAUAUAUAUAUUAAUAUAUAUAUAUUAUAUAUUAUAUAAAUUAAGAUGAUAAAAGAGAAUUAAAAUAUUGUUGCAAUAUAAUGCUCUAAGUAGAGUCACACGUGACUAUCGAUCGUGGUACCUUUCCUUUCUAGAAUAUAAUUUAUAAAAAUUAUAUAUAUAUUUUAUAUAUAUAUAUAUAUAAUUAUAUAUAUAAUAUAUAUAUAUAUAAUAAAAGAUAGAAAUGUAAUAUAUUUAUAAAUAUAUAUACAUAUUAUAUAUAAAUAUGAAAUGUCAUAUUAGGAGUACGUUAUAUUAUUUAUGUUUUUUCAGACCUAUGUUAAAAUCCGUCAUUUUUCUUUCCGUUUCAACGAUCUUGGUUUGCUUUUCCGUUCACGGGAAUGCAGAAUGAUACUGCAAUAGUGACACGAUCUUCCGGUAAUCGAGGAAGGAAAAUGAAAAAAAGAAAUAUAUAAAAAGAAAACGAAAGAAAAUAAAAGGGACCAAUGUCGCUGAAAACGAACGAACAUCGUGGAUUUUAUCCUGGGUCUGAAAGGUAUCGGGAGUUGUACAAAAAAAGAACAAAAUAAAUAAAAAAAGAAAUGGAAAUGCUAGAAAGACAGAUAAUACCAUGGCUCUCUUACCCAAUAAUUUAUCAACUAAUAACAUUAGUGAAUUGAUAAGUGACAAGUUGUAAGUUUCUGUUUGUACAAAACAAUUUUUAUAAUAUUAUGUGGAAUAUAAUAUAUUUAUCAGGACAAUCAGCUGGUAAUUUAUAAAAUUCACUUGUAGAAUUUUGGUUUCUUUUUUACCAAACUUGUUACCAUGUAAUAUACAACAAUUACUGUUAUUAGAACUGUUAACUUGUAACUUUAAAAUUUCACUAAUUGCAUUAGUUCAUUUGCGUAAGAGGGCCCAAAUCAUAAAUUCUAUAAUAUCGUAAUUAAAUAUUGCCUGUUCACAGUGUUGUAAAGAUAUUCUAAAGGAAAUGAUAACAAGAUGCUUCGAGAAAGCCUUUUGAAAAACUCGCGAUCAAUCACCGGCUCCUUCUUCGUGUGUGUUAAGCAAUCAUCAUAUCCGAUAUAACUUUGUAAUAAUAAUACUAUUAUUAAUAAUAGAACUGUAAAAUCGUGCGAACAUAAUUUAGAUAUAUAUACAGGAUAAAAAUUGCGUUAGAGAUCUGAGAGAAACAAGUUCUCUGAUUGUAUUAAAGAGACAACCAGUAACAGCUGUUUACACGAAGAGAAGAAUAGAAAAAAAAAAAAAAAAGAAUAUUGGACAUUGUGAAAGCCUGUUUUCGUAAAUAAACUCGUUAAACUCACGCAAGCACAAGAAAGGUCCGCUUUCACAAAUGAACGAGAAGUCAGCCGAGGGCUGGAAAUUAAUUUUCCAUCUGUUUUAUUAAAAUUCAUCAUAAACACGUAAACGAGAGAGUUUUAUCUUCCGCUGAAAGUAGCCGUCCGUAUGAUCGAAAAGCAAAAAGAAGAAAAAAAA
This is a long non-coding RNA of Apis florea (little honeybee), 2614 nucleotides long. The record is from RefSeq and is a predicted model, not a curated record. NCBI's taxonomy places the organism in Eukaryota, Metazoa, Arthropoda, Insecta, Hymenoptera, Apidae.